This 446-nucleotide ribosomal RNA is filed under the name uncultured bacterium. Its description in RNAcentral is "bacterial SSU rRNA". It matches the Rfam family "Bacterial small subunit ribosomal RNA", at positions 329 to 792 of the family's 1533-position model. The record is from RNAcentral.
UCCCAGACUCCUACGGGAGGCAGCAGUGGGGAAUAUUGCACAAUGGGGGAAACCCUGAUGCAGCGACGCCGCGUGAGUGAAGAAGUAUUUCGGUAUGUAAAGCUCUAUCAGCAGGGAAGAAAAUGACGGUACCUGAUUAAGAAGCCCCGGCUAACUACGUGCCAGCAGCCGCGGUAAUACGUAGGGGGCAAGCGUUAUCCGGAUUUACUGGGUGUAAAGGGAGCGUAGACGGCAGCGCAAGUCUGAAGUGAAAACCCAGGGCUCAACCCUGGGACUGCUUUGGAAACUGUUUUGCUAGAGUGUCGGAGAGGUAAGUGGAAUUCCUGGUGUAGCGGUGAAAUGCGUAGAUAUUAGGAGGAACACCAGUGGCGAAGGCGGCUUACUGGACGAUAACUGACGUUGAGGCUCGAAAGCGUGGGGAGCAAACAGGAGUAGAUCCCCGAGUA